CGGGGGAUAGUUUAUUAGGCCUGAGUAGUAACAGUUAUGUUCUAAAAAUUUGAAAAAUUUGGCGGUGGUUUAGUCUUGUCAGAGGAACCUGUCUUUUAAACGAUACACCACGAAAUAUCUUACUUAAGUUAGUAGAGUAUGUAUACCAUCAUUAUUAGGUAAUUUUUAUAGAAUAAAUUACUGUAUUACGAUUAAUAAUGUUAAAUAUAUUAGAUCAAGGUGCAGCUUAUACUUAAGUCAAGAUGGGUUACAAUAGAAUUUAUGCUAUACGAAUGAGUAACUGAAAUUGUGACUCGGAAGGAGGAUUUGAUUGUAAAUCUAGUUUAAUAAGCUAGUUAGAUAUAAGCUCUAAAGCAUGUACACACCGCCCAACCACCACAUCAAAA
RNAcentral lists this ribosomal RNA (386 nucleotides) under Portunus sanguinolentus (three spot swimming crab). Its description in RNAcentral is "partial 12S ribosomal RNA". Lineage: Eukaryota; Metazoa; Arthropoda; Malacostraca; Decapoda; Portunidae. The record is from RNAcentral.